This 251-nucleotide ribosomal RNA is filed under the name uncultured bacterium. RNAcentral's name for it is "partial 16S ribosomal RNA". It matches the Rfam family "Bacterial small subunit ribosomal RNA", at positions 15 to 244 of the family's 1533-position model. The record is from RNAcentral.
GAUCCUGGCUCAGGAUGAACGCUGGCGGCGUGCUUAACACAUGCAAGUCGAACGAAGAUACUUAAAAUGAGAGCUUCGGCAGGAUUUUUAUUUAUCUUAGUGGCGGACGGGUGAGUAACGUGUGGGCAACCUGCCCUAUACUGGGGGAAUAAUCGCUGGAAACGGUGACUAAUACCGCAUGUCAUCACGGAAGGGCAUCCUUCCGUAAGAAAAGGAGUAAUUCGGUAUAGGAUGGGCCCGCAUCUGAUUAG